AUACGUAGGUGACAAGCGUUAUCCGGAUUUACUGGGCGUAAAGGGCGUGUAGGCGGUCUUGCAAGUCAGAAGUGAAAUUCCUGAGCUCAACUCGGGCGCUGCUUCUGAAACUGCAGGACUUGAGUGCUGGAGGGGAUAGCGGAAUUCCUAGUGGAGCGGUAAAAUGCGCAGAUAUUAGGAAGAACACCGGAGGCGAAGGCGACUUUCUGGACCAAAACUGACGCUGAUGUGCGAAAGCUUGGGUAGGGAACGGGAGUAGAUACCCCGGGAGGCCUAGCCGUAAACGAUGGAUACUAGGUGUGGGUGUCGCAGGGCAUCCGUGCCGCAGCUAACGCGUUAAGUAUCCCGCCUGGGGACUACGGUCGCAAGACUGAAACUCAAAUGAAUUGACGGGG
This 395-nucleotide ribosomal RNA is filed under the name uncultured bacterium. RNAcentral describes it as "partial 16S ribosomal RNA". It matches the Rfam family "Bacterial small subunit ribosomal RNA", at positions 523 to 918 of the family's 1533-position model. The record is from RNAcentral.